CGCGCCCCGCGCCGCUCUCCCGGCUACGGCGAGCGGCGAGCGGCACAAAGAGCCGGCGCAGGCGGGGGGCGAAGCUCCCCCUGCCCUUCCCCGCACAGCCGGGCCAGCAAAGGUUCAACGAUCUUUCAGAAUCUGAAGUGGAGGAAUCUGAGGACCACACACCUAUAGUUGAAUCCCCACCAUCACUGGAUACCUUACCUGGUGUGGAAGCACCAGCAUCUGCAGCCCAGCCAUCUAUAGUGGAAUUGCCACUGCAGACCAGCUGGCUGUCAAGGAGCCACCACGUUCUGAUCACUUCCUGCUCAUUGUAUAGUCUGCAUCCAGGGAAAGCUCACCUGAGAUCAGAUCACCUGUGGGUGAACUUCGAGGUUUCAAAGUCAAGAUGCACACCUCCGAAUCCAAACAGGAUGGCAGUAACACCGUUGAGAAUGUGUUGUCAGCAACAGAGAUUACAUUUGAAUCAUUGGAGAAUCCAGAGAUUUUUGGAGACCCCUAUCAAGUCGCCAUGAAUUAUGCAGAGGAACAUAAAAUUCUACAGAUAUUUCAGGAUAUCACAGAAAAACUGCUGUUCCAUAAGCCUGAUGACCCCUUACAGUUCAUAUUGCUGGAGGUGCAGUCUAUGAUAAAUGCCAGGCAAGCAGAAGCGGAGAAACUAUCAGACUAGAACAAAGAUGUGAAGGUGUUUCUAGAAGAGGGCUUGUGCACUCCUUUUGGCCCUCAUUGACCUUGCUGUUGUGGUAUUGCCACACCAUGCCUUCACAGCACGAUGUAGUCAUUAGCAAGAACUUGGAAAAUAUCUGCUUUGCUGUCUCUUGCCUGGUUUUUCUGUUUUGUAUGCUUGUGCUUCCUCUUCCCCUUGGGUUCAAAUCCUGCAGCCAAGUUUUGGUUUGGAAUCACAGACUGAAAUCUAAGUGUGCAUGGAUCUUCAUGCACAUAUGGCACAUCUUGAAGAGGCAGGUCUGCUGAACUUCUAGGCAUAUAAAUACAUAAAUCUCAUAUCUCCACACUGCCUCUCUGUGCAAAGAAACCUCACAGCUCAGACAGUGCAAGGACAAAAGCAAGUUAAGAGUUAAAAAGCAGCCCUGGACA
Lonchura striata (white-rumped munia) is the source of this 1089-nucleotide long non-coding RNA. The record is from Ensembl. Lineage: Eukaryota; Metazoa; Chordata; Aves; Passeriformes; Estrildidae.